Molecule: ribosomal RNA, 253 nt
Filed under: uncultured bacterium
Lineage: Bacteria
Description: partial 16S ribosomal RNA
Rfam family: Bacterial small subunit ribosomal RNA
Source: RNAcentral
UACGGAGGAUGCAAGCGUUAUCCGGAAUGAUUGGGCGUAAAGCGUCCGCAGGUGGCUGUGUAAGUCUGCUGUUAAAGAGUCUAGCUCAACUAGAUACAAGCGGUGGAAACUACACGGCUAGAGUACGUUCGGGGCAGAGGGAAUUCCUGGUGUAGCGGUGAAAUGCGUAGAGAUCAGGAAGAACACCGGUGGCGAAGGCGCUCUGCUAGGCCGUAACUGACACUGAGGGACGAAAGCUAGGGGAGCGAACAGG